GGAGAUUGGGCGCGGACAGACAUCUCGCCAACCCGGUCAGGUCCGGAAGGAAGCAGCCGUAACGAGAAUAGUUUGGGUCGCUGUACCAAUCUCCCAC
Molecule: signal recognition particle RNA, 97 nt
Filed under: Rhodospirillaceae bacterium
Lineage: Bacteria; Pseudomonadati; Pseudomonadota; Alphaproteobacteria; Rhodospirillales; Rhodospirillaceae
Description: signal recognition particle sRNA small type
Rfam family: Bacterial small signal recognition particle RNA
About the family: The signal recognition particle (SRP) is a universally conserved ribonucleoprotein involved in the co-translational targeting of proteins to membranes.
Source: RNAcentral